This 497-nucleotide ribosomal RNA is filed under the name uncultured bacterium. RNAcentral's name for it is "partial 16S ribosomal RNA". It matches the Rfam family "Bacterial small subunit ribosomal RNA", at positions 28 to 507 of the family's 1533-position model. The record is from RNAcentral.
GACGAACGCUGGCGGCGUGCCUAAUACAUGCAAGUUGAGCGCUGAAGGUUGGUACUUGUACCGACUGGAUGAGCAGCGAACGGGUGAGUAACGCGUGGGGAAUCUGCCUUUGAGCGGGGGACAACAUUUGGAAACGAAUGCUAAUACCGCAUAAAAACUUUAAACACAAGUUUUAAGUUUGAAAGAUGCAAUUGCAUCACUCAAAGAUGAUCCCGCGUUGUAUUAGCUAGUUGGUGGGGUAAAGGCUCACCAAGGCGAUGAUACAUAGCCGACCUGAGAGGGUGAUCGGCCACAUUGGGACUGAGACACGGCCCAAACUCCUACGGGAGGCAGCAGUAGGGAAUCUUCGGCAAUGGACGAAAGUCUGACCGAGCAACGCCGCGUGAGUGAAGAAGGUUUUCGGAUCGUAAAACUCUGUUGGUGGAGAAGAACGUUGGUGAGAGUGGAAAGCUCAUCAAGUGACGGUAACUACCCAGAAAGGGACGGCUAACUACGUG